GCUUUAUCUUAAUUGGAGCUUUCAGGCUCUUAUACGAUUUUGAUGGGAGAUCAGUAGAAAUAAGUCUUCUACUAUUAUAUUAAUCUUACUAGUAUUUCCUAACUUUAUAUGUGUGGCUAGCUACUCUAGGGAUAACAGCGCAAUUUCUCCCGAAAGAUGGUAUUGGAGGGGAAGAUUGCGACCUCGAUGUUGGCUUUAGAUACCCUAGAGGCGUAGAAGCUUCU
Molecule: ribosomal RNA, 224 nt
Filed under: Mytilus galloprovincialis (Mediterranean mussel)
Lineage: Eukaryota; Metazoa; Mollusca; Bivalvia; Mytilida; Mytilidae
Description: partial large subunit ribosomal RNA
Rfam family: Bacterial large subunit ribosomal RNA (bases 131-224)
Source: RNAcentral